RNAcentral lists this ribosomal RNA (410 nucleotides) under uncultured microorganism. Its description in RNAcentral is "bacterial SSU rRNA". It matches the Rfam family "Archaeal small subunit ribosomal RNA", at positions 330 to 745 of the family's 1478-position model. The record is from RNAcentral.
GCGCAGCAGGCGAGAACCUUCGCAAUGCGGGAACCGCGACGAGGGACUCCCAGUGCCUACGCUCAGCGUAGGCUGUUCCCGAGCCUAGAAAGCUCGGGGAGUAAGGGCUGGGUAAGACGGGUGCCAGCCGCCGCGGUAAUACCCGCAGCCCGAGUGGUGGCCACUAUUAUUGGGCCUAAAGCGUCCGUAGCCGGCCCGGUAAAUGCCUGGGUAAAUCGUGAGGCCUAACCUCACGAAUUCCGGGUAGACUGCCGGGCUAGGGACCGGAGGAGGGAGAGGGUACUCCAGGGGUAGGGGUGAAAUCCUGUAAUCCCUGGAGGACCACCGGUGGCGAAGGCGCUCUCCUAGGACGGGUCCGACGGUGAGGGACGAAAGCCAGGGGAGCGCACCGGAUUAGAUACCCCUGUAGU